GAGUUUGAUCAUGGCUCAGAACGUACGCUGGCGGCACGCCUAACACAUGCAAGUCGAACGAAGUAGCAAUACUUAGUGGCAGACGGGUGAGUAACAUGUGGGUAUCUACCCUUUGGCCUGGAAUAACACGAGGAAACUUGUGCUAAUACCGGAUAAGUCUUUACGGAGAAAGCUUUAUGCACCAUUGGAUGAGCCCGCACUUGAUUAGUUUGUUGGUAGGGUAAUGGCCUACCAAGACUAUGAUCAAUAGCUGAUUUGAGAGGAUGAUCAGCCACAUUGGGACUGAGACACGGCCCAAACUCCUACGGGAGGCAGCAGUGGGGAAUCUUGCACAAUGGAGGAAACUCUGAUGCAGCGAUGCCGCGUGAGUGAAGAAGGCCUUUGGGUUGUAAAGCUCUUUCGUCGGGGAAGAAAAUGACUGUACCCGAAUAAGAAGGUCCGGCUAACUUCGUGCCAGCAGCCGCGGUAAUACGAAGGGACCUAGCGUAGUUCGGAAUUACUGGGCUUAAAGAGUUCGUAGGUGGUUGAAAAAGUUGGUGGUGAAAUCCCAGAGCUUAACUCUGGAACUGCCAUCAAAACUUUUCAGCUAGAGUAUGAUAGAGGAAAGCAGAAUUUCUAGUGUAGAGGUGAAAUUCGUAGAUAUUAGAAAGAAUACCAAUUGCGAAGGCAGCUUUCUGGAUCAUUACUGACACUGAGGAACGAAAGCAUGGGUAGCGAAGAGGAUUAGAUACCCUCGUAGUCCAUGCCGUAAACGAUGUGUGUUAGACGUUGGAAAUUUAUUUUCAGUGUCGCAGGGAAACCGAUAAACACACCGCCUGGGGAGUACGACCGCAAGGUUAAAACUCAAAUGAAUUGACGGGGACCCGCACAAGUAGUGGAGCAUGUGGUUUAAUUCGAAGCAACGCGCAGAACCUUACCAACCCUUGACAUCCUGUGCUACUACCAGAGAUGGUACGUUCCCUUCGGGGACGCAGUGACAGGUGCUGCAUGGCUGUCGUCAGCUCGUGUCGUGAGAUGUUCGGUUAAGUCCGGCAACGAGCGCAACCCACAUCUUUAGUUGCCAGCAGGUUAAGCUGGGCACUCUAGAGAAACUGCCCGUGAUAAGCGGGAGGAAGGUGUGGAUGACGUCAAGUCCUCAUGGCCCUUACGGGUUGGGCUACACACGUGCUACAAUGGCAGUGACAAUGGGUUAAUCCCCAAAAGCUGUCUCAGUUCGGAUUGGGGUCUGCAACUCGACCCCAUGAAGUCGGAAUCGCUAGUAAUCGCGUAACAGCCAUGGCGCGGUGAAUACGUUCCCGGGCCUUGUACACACCGCCCGUCAAGCCAUGGAAGCUGGGGGCACCUGAAGUCGGUAACCGCAAGGAGCCGCCUAGGGUGAAACUGGUAACUAGGGCUAAGUCGUAACAAGGUAACC
RNAcentral lists this ribosomal RNA (1414 nucleotides) under uncultured marine bacterium. RNAcentral describes it as "16S ribosomal RNA". It matches the Rfam family "Bacterial small subunit ribosomal RNA". The record is from RNAcentral.